AUUAGAGAUUAGAGAGUAAAAAUAAAAUUGACAAGGAGAUUGGAGAGAUCAGAGAACCAAAAACCCUAAACUCUCAAAACAACCAUUUCCGAAAAAAAAAGGACUUGAAGAUGGAAGGAGUAAGGUAUUCUGAUUAAGUUUUUCUCCCUAAAAUUUAGCUCACCCAUGCAGAGAAUGUUAGAAGUUGAACUUUGGCUUUUAAAAGUAAAUGAUUGGAAAGAGAUUGGGCAAGAAGCAUAUGUGGAACAUCGCCUUGCUCAAAAUCGACAAUCAAAUGAUGCAAAUCUAACCCUUGUGGAGGAGUGAAGGAAGCAAUAGGGGCAUGAAUAAUUAUUUUUUUCUCUUGCAAAAGUAUAUUGAUAUGUUUGAAUAAAGUGAUGUUUCACUAUUUUGAAUGAUAGUGUUGAACCUUUCAGUCUUUUGUUUUCUAAUAUAUUGCUUUUAUUACACAAUUGAAGAUAUUAUGCUAUGAUAUUGU
This is a long non-coding RNA of Lycium barbarum (goji berry), 478 nucleotides long. RefSeq lists it as uncharacterized. The record is from RefSeq and is a predicted model, not a curated record. The transcript has 5 exons. Lineage: Eukaryota; Viridiplantae; Streptophyta; Magnoliopsida; Solanales; Solanaceae.